This 345-nucleotide unclassified non-coding RNA is filed under the name uncultured fungus. Its description in RNAcentral is "partial contains 5.8S ribosomal RNA, internal transcribed spacer 2, and large subunit ribosomal RNA". The record is from RNAcentral. RNAcentral also lists the same sequence under 1 other name. Lineage: Eukaryota; Fungi.
AACGCACAUUGCGCUUCCUGGUAUUCCGGGGAGCAUGCUCGUUUCAGAAUCAAUAUGUUCUCACAAACUAUAUGGGUUGCAAAACCCCUAUUGGGCGUGGAUUUGGGCAUUUUUGCUAUGGUGUCUUUGUGCAACAUUGCAAUUGCCUUAAAAUGAUUGCGUGUAUGCCCCAAUUGGUAGUAAUUGGUUUACCCUCAAUGCAACAGUCAAAUGAAACAUUUUGGGGGACCUUUUGUGAACAUUGGACUUGGAAUACACUUCCAUUCUAUACAGCAACCAUCUCUAGUAUUGAGAUUGUUUCUGAACCUUGGUCUGAAAUCGAGCAAGAAAACCCGCUGAACUUAA